GGAAGGGCUGUAGCUCAGUGGUAGAGCAUCUGCUCUGCAUACAGAAGGUCGCAGGUUUGAUCCCUGGUAUUUCCA
RNAcentral lists this transfer RNA (75 nucleotides) under Podarcis lilfordi (Lilford's wall lizard). RNAcentral's name for it is "tRNA.Undet". It matches the Rfam family "tRNA". Rfam says of the family: Transfer RNA (tRNA) molecules are approximately 80 nucleotides in length. Their secondary structure includes four short double-helical elements and three loops (D, anti-codon, and T loops). The record is from RNAcentral. Lineage: Eukaryota; Metazoa; Chordata; Lepidosauria; Squamata; Lacertidae.